UACGUAGGGUCCGAGCGUUGUCCGGAAUUACUGGGCGUAAAGAGCUCGUAGGCGGUUUGUCGCGUCUGCUGUGAAAACUGGAGGCUCAACCUCCAGCCUGCAGUGGGUACGGGCAGACUAGAGUGCGGUAGGGGAGACUGGAAUUCCUGGUGUAGCGGUGAAAUGCGCAGAUAUCAGGAGGAACACCGAUGGCGAAGGCAGGUCUCUGGGCCACUACUGACGCUGAGAAGCGAAAGCAUGGGGAGCGAACAGG
RNAcentral lists this ribosomal RNA (253 nucleotides) under uncultured bacterium. RNAcentral's name for it is "partial 16S ribosomal RNA". It matches the Rfam family "Bacterial small subunit ribosomal RNA", at positions 524 to 776 of the family's 1533-position model. The record is from RNAcentral.